GAUAAAUCAAUAUCAUUAUAAAACCUAUCUCCCUCACCCACAUGCAAAGGCCAAUCAACUUCUCACCACCUCUACUUCUCUCCUUAACUCCAUAACUCACUUGGUAAGAUAGCCAGAUACGUUAACUGCAUUGCAUAACCAGAUGAAUAAUAUAUUGUUCUUCUAAGUAUCAUAUUGUAUUCAUAAUCACUUGAAAUACAAACCCCACUAUCAUAUUCCAAUUAGUAUUCAUGUUCCUCUCAAAUUGUUCAGGCCUGAACAAAAGCAUUGCAUCUCCCAAUACAAAAUAGAGGCAGAAAAAGAGAACAUAGACACCCCAAAUGCAAGAACGCCCAAGCAAUUUCUUGAACAUAAGUAGUUGCCG
This 364-nucleotide unclassified non-coding RNA is filed under the name Hevea brasiliensis (rubber tree). The record is from RNAcentral. Lineage: Eukaryota; Viridiplantae; Streptophyta; Magnoliopsida; Malpighiales; Euphorbiaceae.